GACGAACGCUGGCGGCGUGCUUAACACAUGCAAGUCGAACGGUGAAGCUCCAGCUUGCUGGAGUGGAUCAGUGGCGAACGGGUGAGUAACACGUGAGCAACCUGCCCCUGACUCUGGAAUAAGCGCUGGAAACGGCGUCUAAUACUGGAUACGAGAAGGGUCCGCAUGGGCACUUUCUGGAAAGUUUUUCGGUUGGGGAUGGGCUCGCGGCCUAUCAGCUUGUUGGUGAGGUAAUGGCUCACCAAGGCGACGACGGGUAGCCGGCCUGAGAGGGCGACCGGCCACACUGGGACUGAGACACGGCCCAGACUCCUACGGGAGGCAGCAGUGGGGAAUAUUGCACAAUGGGCGAAAGCCUGAUGCAGCGACGCCGCGUGAGGGAUGACGGCCUUCGGGUUGUAAACCUCUUUCAGCAGGGAAGAAGCGAAAGUGACGGUACCUGCAGAAGAAGCACCGGCUAACUAUGUG
This 468-nucleotide ribosomal RNA is filed under the name uncultured bacterium. RNAcentral's name for it is "partial 16S ribosomal RNA". It matches the Rfam family "Bacterial small subunit ribosomal RNA", at positions 28 to 507 of the family's 1533-position model. The record is from RNAcentral.